Molecule: ribosomal RNA, 465 nt
Filed under: uncultured bacterium
Lineage: Bacteria
Description: partial 16S ribosomal RNA
Rfam family: Bacterial small subunit ribosomal RNA
Source: RNAcentral
GACGAACGCUGGCGGCGUGCUUAACACAUGCAAGUCGAACGGAAAGGCCCUGCUUGCAGGGUACUCGAGUGGCGAACAGGUGAGUAACACGUGGGUGAUCUGCCCUGCACUUCGGGAUAAGCCUGGGAAACUGGGUCUAAUACCGGAUAUGACCUUCCAUGUAGUGUGGGGGGUGGAAAGAUUUAUCGGUGUGGGAUGAGCCCGCGGCCUAUCAGCUUGUUGGUGGGGUAAUGGCCUACCAAGGCGUCGACGGGUAGCCGGCCUGAGAGGGUGGACGGCCACAUUGGGACUGAGAUACGGCCCAGACUCCUACGGGAGGCAGCAGUGGGGAAUAUUGCACAAUGGGCGGAAGCCUGAUGCAGCGACGCCGCGUGGGGGAUGACGGCCUUCGGGUUGUAAACCUCUUUCGACAGGGACGAAGCUUCGGUGACGGUACCUGUAUAAGAAGCACCGGCUAACUACGUG